This 26-nucleotide small RNA is filed under the name Bombyx mori (domestic silkworm). RNAcentral describes it as "ovarian small RNA-28138". The record is from RNAcentral. Lineage: Eukaryota; Metazoa; Arthropoda; Insecta; Lepidoptera; Bombycidae.
UCGAAAUGGAAGACGGGCAGAUUGGU